This 446-nucleotide ribosomal RNA is filed under the name Streptococcus mitis. Its description in RNAcentral is "bacterial SSU rRNA". It matches the Rfam family "Bacterial small subunit ribosomal RNA", at positions 28 to 464 of the family's 1533-position model. Lineage: Bacteria; Bacillati; Bacillota; Bacilli; Lactobacillales; Streptococcaceae. The record is from RNAcentral.
GACGAACGCUGGCGGCGUGCCUAAUACAUGCAAGUAGAACGCUGAAGGAGGAGCUUGCUUCUCUGGAUGAGUUGCGAACGGGUGAGUAACGCGUAGGUAACCUGCCUGGAAGCGGGGGAUAACUAUUGGAAACGAUAGCUAAUACCGCAUAAUAGCAGUUAUUGCAUGAUAACUGUUUGAAAGGUGCAAUUGCACCACUACCAGAUGGACCUGCGUUGUAUUAGCUAGUUGGUGGGGUAACGGCUCACCAAGGCGACGAUACAUAGCCGACCUGAGAGGGUGAUCGGCCACACUGGGACUGAGACACGGCCCAGACUCCUACGGGAGGCAGCAGUAGGGAAUCUUCGGCAAUGGACGGAAGUCUGACCGUGCAACGCCGCGUGAGUGAAGAAGGUUUUCGGAUGUAAAGCUCUGUUGUAAGAGAAGAACGAGUGUGAGAGUGGAAA